This 67-nucleotide transfer RNA is filed under the name Marchantia polymorpha subsp. ruderalis. RNAcentral describes it as "tRNA-Trp". It matches the Rfam family "tRNA". From Rfam's summary of the family: Transfer RNA (tRNA) molecules are approximately 80 nucleotides in length. Their secondary structure includes four short double-helical elements and three loops (D, anti-codon, and T loops). Lineage: Eukaryota; Viridiplantae; Streptophyta; Marchantiopsida; Marchantiales; Marchantiaceae. The record is from RNAcentral.
GCAUCGGUGGUGGAAGGGCACAUACUCUUCCAUGGAGCUUUUCCGGGUUCAAGUCCCGGCCGAUGCG